UGAUAAUUGAAAAUUCUCCACGCUGAUUGGUUGCCGUUGAGGUGAUUAUAACGCCAUUUUCAAAGUUUUGUCAAUUAAAUGACGAAGAAAUGUGUAUUUUUUUUUAUUUUUUCUAAACAAUCACCUAUCAAAUUAUACUAGAACAAUUAUAUUCACCGAUAAUCACCUCGCCUUCGGCGAAUAAUUGUUAAUUAACUUUUUUGAGACAUGCAACUCGUAGUGAGUCAUUAAAACGCAAAGAAGGGCUUGAUUUCAAAUGAUUUACAUUUCGUCGAGACUGAAUAUAAAUAUAAGCUGAUUUCUUUUAUUUAUUUGCGGCGGGCUUACGGUAACUGUAACUGUAAGGAAAAUUUAAGACGCUGAAAAGUUACAAUGUCACCGAUAAAUCUAGACAUAUUAUAGACAGUCUGAACCAAAUGCGUGAUAUGAGCCGUUUUUAUGCAAUACUUCCUUUUAUCUCGCUACUUUUAUUGAAGAUCUGAACUGCACUAUGCAGUUUAUAAGUAGAAUCUAGUUAAUCAGUCUUUAUACAUGUUAUAUAAAGUAAUAUUAUUAAUAUUAUAUGUACAAUUUACGGGGUUCUUAGUCCUAAACUGUACUAGUAUUAUACCGCUACAUAAUAUUGUAUUGUAUUGAUGAUAUAUUGUAUUGAAAAGUAUUCAAAAUACAUGUAUUCAAUUUCUGUUUGAGAUUCCGUAGUCUUUUAUAGCGCAAACCUUCCUCCCCGGUGCAAAAUCAAUGAAAAGUUCGUUUAUG
Paramuricea clavata is the source of this 756-nucleotide non-coding RNA. Lineage: Eukaryota; Metazoa; Cnidaria; Anthozoa; Malacalcyonacea; Plexauridae. The record is from the annotation of a GenBank genome assembly.